UGGCUCAGGACGAACGCUGGCGGCGUGCCUAAGACAUGCAAGUCGAGCGGGGAGAUUAGGGGGCUUGCUCUCUGGUCUCCUAGCGGCGGACGGGUGAGUAACACGUGGGUAACCUGCCCGGCAGUGGGGGAUAACCCUGGGAAACUGGGGCUAAUACCGCAUACGGUCCGAGCCUCGCAUGGGGCUUGGAAGAAAGGCCGUCCUUGUGGGCGGUCGCUGCCGGAGAGGCCCGCGGCCCAUCAGGUAGUUGGUGGGGUAACGGCCCACCAAGCCGACGACGGGUAGCCGGCCUGAGAGGGUGGUCGGCCACACUGGGACUGAGACACGGCCCAGACUCCUACGGGAGGCAGCAGUCGGGAAUCUUGCGCAAUGGGCGAAAGCCUGACGCAGCGACGCCGCGUGGGGGAGGAAGCCCUUCGGGGUGUAAACCCCUGUCGUCCGGGACGAAGGUUGGGGGUUGAAAGGCCUCCAGCUGACGGAACCGGAAGAGGAAGCCCCGGCUAACUACGUGCCGUGAUCAGUGGUAAGACUCAGGGGCCGAGCGUGGCCAGGCAUCACUGAGCUUAAAGGCAUCGUAUGCGGCCUGGCUACUCGGAUGUGAAAGGUCCCGGCUCAACCGGGGAGGUGCAUUCGAAACUGCCGGGCUUGAGGGCAGGAGAGGGCUUCGGAAUUGUCUGUGG
Molecule: ribosomal RNA, 680 nt
Filed under: Thermaerobacter sp. enrichment culture
Lineage: Bacteria; Bacillati; Bacillota; Clostridia; Eubacteriales; Clostridiales Family XVII. Incertae Sedis
Description: bacterial SSU rRNA
Rfam family: Bacterial small subunit ribosomal RNA
Source: RNAcentral